This 234-nucleotide long non-coding RNA is filed under the name Carica papaya (papaya). Its description in RNAcentral is "long non-coding RNA (CPAP_LNC005382)". The record is from RNAcentral. Lineage: Eukaryota; Viridiplantae; Streptophyta; Magnoliopsida; Brassicales; Caricaceae.
AAUACCACCAUUUCUAGGCAUUUAAAUGAACACAUCAAGAGAAUUAAAUCCAAAAGAUAACAGAAUAAUAAUUACCAAACAAACAUCAAAUUCAAACCACUAUUUUCCUCUUUUUUUUAAUUUCCUAUCCCUCUCCCGUUCUCAUCAUUUCAAUUUUUCUCCUAUGUUUCUAGCAUAUCUCUGUUGUCCUCUCUUCAUAGUUGUCCACUUAAUAAUUCCAUCAUUUCGUCUGAU